GGGGGAAUAUUGCACAAUGGGGGAAACCCUGAUGCAGCGACGCCGCGUGAGUGAAGAAGUAUUUCGGUAUGUAAAGCUCUAUCAGCAGGAAAGAAAAUGACGGUACCUGACUAAGAAGCCCCGGCUAACUACGUGCCAGCAGCCGCGGUAAUACGUAGGGGGCAAGCGUUAUCCGGAUUUACUGGGUGUAAAGGGAGCGUAGACGGUAUGGCAAGUCUGAAGUGAAAGCCCAGGGCUCAACCCUGGGACUGCUUUGGAAACUGUCGCACUAGAGUGCAGGAGAGGUAAGUGGAAUUCCUAGUGUAGCGGUGAAAUGCGUAGAUAUUAGGAGGAGCACCAGUGGCGAAGGCGGCUUACUGGACUGUAACUGACGUUGAGGCUCGAAAGCGUGGGGAGCAAAC
RNAcentral lists this ribosomal RNA (401 nucleotides) under uncultured Clostridium sp. Its description in RNAcentral is "bacterial SSU rRNA". It matches the Rfam family "Bacterial small subunit ribosomal RNA", at positions 355 to 773 of the family's 1533-position model. Lineage: Bacteria; Bacillati; Bacillota; Clostridia; Eubacteriales; Clostridiaceae. The record is from RNAcentral.